RNAcentral lists this ribosomal RNA (542 nucleotides) under Pseudarthrobacter oxydans. RNAcentral describes it as "bacterial SSU rRNA". It matches the Rfam family "Bacterial small subunit ribosomal RNA", at positions 93 to 648 of the family's 1533-position model. Lineage: Bacteria; Bacillati; Actinomycetota; Actinomycetes; Micrococcales; Micrococcaceae. The record is from RNAcentral.
UAGUGGCGAACGGGUGAGUAACACGUGAGUAACCUGCCCUUAACUCUGGGAUAAGCCUGGGAAACUGGGUCUAAUACCGGAUAUGACUCCUCAUCGCAUGGUGGGGGGUGGAAAGCUUUUUGUGGUUUUGGAUGGACUCGCGGCCUAUCAGCUUGUUGGUGAGGUAAUGGCUUACCAAGGCGACGACGGGUAGCCGGCCUGAGAGGGUGACCGGCCACACUGGGACUGAGACACGGCCCAGACUCCUACGGGAGGCAGCAGUGGGGAAUAUUGCACAAUGGGCGCAAGCCUGAUGCAGCGACGCCGCGUGAGGGAUGACGGCCUUCGGGUUGUAAACCUCUUUCAGUAGGGAAGAAGCGAAAGUGACGGUACCUGCAGAAGAAGCGCCGGCUAACUACGUGCCAGCAGCCGCGGUAAUACGUAGGGCGCAAGCGUUAUCCGGAAUUAUUGGGCGUAAAGAGCUCGUAGGCGGUUUGUCGCGUCUGCCGUGAAAGUCCGGGGCUCAACUCCGGAUCUGCGGUGGGUACGGGCAGACUAGAGUG